Molecule: long non-coding RNA, 433 nt
Organism: Alligator mississippiensis (American alligator)
Lineage: Eukaryota; Metazoa; Chordata; Crocodylia; Alligatoridae
Exons: 3
Source: RefSeq, a predicted model, not a curated record
GCAGCAUCAUCAGCUGACUGAACUCCUGCUUGGGGACCCAGAGGCGUGGCAGGUGAGUGGAGUGGGCAGACUGUCCAGAGAUGGGAAGACUUGAGGUGGAGACCUGGAUGGGAAGAAUAAAUUUCCUGUGGACACAAACCCAGCUUUCUCGAGCUGUCUACCUGAAGCAGGCAUUGAUACAGUCCCUGAUGACAGCUUGUAGGGAACCUGGUUUGCCUUGAGGAAGCAGCUACUCCAGAGUGCAGCUGACAGUGGCAGCAGGCACAUGAUGGGUUCAUUGAAGAAAUUUUCUCAAGAGUAAACUUACUUCUGACUUUCUGAGAAGGAAUUUUGCACCAGAGAACAGCACUUUCCCUGAUGUAAAUGCUGUUUAUUGUAUUUUUCCUUUACUUUCCCCUCCAGAAUAUAUUGUGGGCUGGGACAGAGCUGCAGG